RNAcentral lists this ribosomal RNA (326 nucleotides) under Pyramidula sp. 1 OR-2015. RNAcentral describes it as "partial 16S ribosomal RNA". Lineage: Eukaryota; Metazoa; Mollusca; Gastropoda; Stylommatophora; Pyramidulidae. The record is from RNAcentral.
UUGACUGUGCUAAGGUAGCAUAAUAAAUUGGCUUUUAAUUGAAGUCGGGAAUGAAAGGGUGUUUGGAGUUAUUCUGUCUUAUUUUUAUUUUUUAAAAGUUACUAAUGAGGUGAAAAUUCCUCAAUGUUACUUGAUAGACGAGAAGACCCUAAGAAUUAUUACAAUUAUUAAAGUAAAUUAAUAAAAGUUUUUGUUGGGGCAACAGCUUUGAAUAACCAAAGUUAAAAUUUACUAUAAAAAGAUUAUUUUAAAAACGGAUUUAAUUACCUUAGGGAUAACAGCAUAAUUAUAUUUUAGAUUGUGACCUCGAUGUUGGAUUAAGGCCU